CGGUAAAAAUACAAAAGUUUAGUGAAGUGUUUGUGUUUCAAUUUACGUUUUGUAAAAUGAAUUCUUAAAACGCAAGCAAUGAGCAAAUCGCCAUAAUGGUGGAAUUUAUGGAAAGGUACGUCAAUAACGUAUUUAAAAUGGUAAACACCCCGCAGGGAAGAGUGAGGCGCCAGGAACUUUGCCAACUAUUAAAGAUGUUGCUGGGUAAGGCAGGUAGUGAUCCUGACAAGUCUAUGGAGCAAUGGAUCAAGGACUACCAGUAGAGGAACAGUCAAAUGAGGAGCCUCCAGUUGAGGAACCAUCUAUCCAAAUACAAAUUUUGGAGCAGAUCACUGACAAUGAUGAACAAAAUUAUAUAUAUGUUGCCUCCUCUUCAAGAGUAUAGCUGCCCCAUCAUCAGUUCAAAGGAGAGGGAAAUGGCAUCCAGGACCCUCACUCACUGGCUUAUUAAUGUAAUGCUUAUGCUUUGAGAUGCAGUCUCAAAUGCAAAAACAUGUAACAUUUACAUUGGUUUUGGUUGUAACUUGUGUAAUUAAUGUUUAAGUGAAUAUUGAAAUAAAAAAUAAUUGUAUAUAAAUAAAGUUU
This is a long non-coding RNA of Papilio machaon (common yellow swallowtail), 585 nucleotides long. RefSeq lists it as uncharacterized. The transcript is spliced from 3 exons. The record is from RefSeq and is a predicted model, not a curated record. NCBI's taxonomy places the organism in Eukaryota, Metazoa, Arthropoda, Insecta, Lepidoptera, Papilionidae.